AACGAACGCUGGCGGCAGGCCUAACACAUGCAAGUCGAACGCGACGCCCGGGGCUCGGCGCGCAGGUGCGCGUAGCGCGGGGGCGCCCGCCCUUGGGCUCGGAAUCACCGGCCGACAGGGGUUCUAACACGGGAAGCUGUCAUCGGGCCAAAGUUAUAUCGCCAUUAGCUGGGCCCGCGUUUGAUUAGCUAGUUGGUAGGGUAACCGCCUACCAAGGCGACGAACAGUAGCUGGUCUGAGAGGAUGAUCAGCCACACUGGGACUGAGACACGGCCCAGACUCCUACGGGAGGCAGCAGGGGGGAAUAUUGGACAAUGGGCGAAAGCCUGAUCCAGCCAUGCCGCGUGAGUGAUGAAGGCCUUAGGGUUGUAAAGCUCUUUUGUCCGGGAAGAUAAUGACUGUACCGGAAGAAUAAGCCCCGGCUAACUUCGUG
RNAcentral lists this ribosomal RNA (433 nucleotides) under uncultured bacterium. RNAcentral describes it as "partial 16S ribosomal RNA". It matches the Rfam family "Bacterial small subunit ribosomal RNA", at positions 29 to 507 of the family's 1533-position model. The record is from RNAcentral.